Pelobates cultripes (western spadefoot toad) is the source of this 317-nucleotide non-coding RNA. The record is from the annotation of a GenBank genome assembly. Lineage: Eukaryota; Metazoa; Chordata; Amphibia; Anura; Pelobatidae.
CUACUACUAACAUUGACUAACACAGGGAGGAAGGGUGGGAAAGCUCCUGUCAGAUAUCUCCCUUCCUGCUGAGUGUCAAGGGCCCACCUUCAGCUUCACCUAUAUACCGGUCCCCUUUGCUACAUAUGUAUCCCCUUUAAUCCAUCCCCCAUUCCUGGGCAGCAGUCAUGUCUUUCCCUUCCUUAGCCAGUCCAGGGAAACCCUUGACUGCAGACCCGUUAACCUAUCCGUUGCCCAAUAAACACACGACACCUGUAUAAUGGAUAAGGGCAACGGCCACAGCUUUAUUUAACGUUUUUGCCAGCAUUAAUACCAAC